GAUGAACGCUGGCGGCGUGCCUAAUACAUGCAAGUCGAGCGAACAGACGAGGAGCUUGCUCCUCUGACGUUAGCGGCGGACGGGUGAGUAACACGUGGAUAAACUACCUAUAAGACUGGGAUAACUUCGGGAAACCGGAGCUAAUACCGGAUAAUAUAUUGAACCGCAUGGUUCAAUAGUGAAAGACGGUUUUGCUGUCACCUAUAGAUGGAUCCGCGCCGCAUUAGCUAGUUGGUAAGGUAACGGCUUACCAAGGCAACGAUGCGUAGCCGACCUGAGAGGGUGAUCGGCCACACUGGAACUGAGACACGGUCCAGACUCCUACGGGAGGCAGCAGUAGGGAAUCUUCCGCAAUGGGCGAAAGCCUGACGGAGCAACGCCGCGUGAGUGAUGAAGGUCUUCGGAUCGUAAAACUCUGUUAUUAGGGAAGAACAAAUGUGUAAGUAACUAUGCACGUCUUGACGGUACCUAAUCAGAAAGCCACGGCUAACUACGUG
RNAcentral lists this ribosomal RNA (497 nucleotides) under uncultured bacterium. RNAcentral describes it as "partial 16S ribosomal RNA". It matches the Rfam family "Bacterial small subunit ribosomal RNA", at positions 28 to 507 of the family's 1533-position model. The record is from RNAcentral.